UUCAGUGACUUUCAUCCAUCCUAACAACAGUUGCUCAUCUGGAUUGCAGGAUACAUGGAUUCUGUCAUCACCUGAACCUGAGACUUGACCGACUGAAUUUCCAGUACCUCGAUUUGCCUGUGAGACAGAGCUUGUGCUUGCCUCAGGAAAUGAAGCUUUCAAGAAGGAUGGAAUUCAACUCAACUUUACCACAAUCCUACCAGACAUCCUUGAGAAACUGGCUGAAAGCAUCUUUCAGUAUGUUGCCUACCCAACAAGUGCACAGUUGUCUGAUGUUGCUGAGGCGAUGAUUCAGAAGCCUCCUUGCUUGAAUCCGGGAUCAUAUAAUGGAUGCUAUGGAUGGCAAUAAAGACUAAAAUAUAAAAUGGGCAACUAUAGAUCUAAGUUGAGAGGGCUUGGAUGCCCUGAGCUUGAUGUUAAUUGUCUCUCAAAGAAGUGAGCACACGAGAGGUGAACUAUUUACCCCGUCAGCCACAAGGACAAACAGAAGCAAGCUUGGAACACAAAAGGGUGGAGCUCCAUAAGCUCCAUAUGAAGUAAAGAAGAGGAACAUCUGUCAGAUUAUCAGUGAAAAAAUUGGAAAGACGUUCUCCAUUCGCUGGCAGGAAGUUGUCAAUCAGGCACCACCAGUCAGUGACUUCAAAGACCGAUGGCCUGCCCUUUUUGAUGCAACUCAGAUAAACCAAGAAUUCAGAAAGAUCACCACUGUGGACCUGGAGACAACAUUUAUGACAAAACUGGACCAGUACACCCCAAAACUAAUGUCCUUGGUGUUCUCCAGAGGAGGGGCUGCAAAAAUGAACAUUCAGCGCAUAAGAAACAUGCUGCCAGAGGAUGAUUCUGCGGGAAGGAGGAGAGAGGUUGCUAUCCGUGGCUUAGUGGUGUAUCUCAGAGAAAAGGAAGAGGAUCUCUUCAAAGAGCAGUUGGAUGGUGGUGGGGACAUUACCAAUUAAGUGAUGAAGAUCGUUGUAACCAGAGGUGCCAAUCUGUCUGAGCCAGCCAGUGCAACAAGCGUAAUUGAGGGAACAGAAGUCCUGGAAGACCUGGAUGUACUCAGAGGUUGUACCUUGCUAAUGGGGCUUACACUUGUUGUUGUUUAAAAAAAUAUUCCUUGAGCUGGAUGGUCUGAAAGCCAGUCCAAAGGUGAUGUCUCUAAAAAGCAAACUUCUGUGCUAAUGUGAAUAAUUCACAG
Micropterus dolomieu (smallmouth bass) is the source of this 1192-nucleotide long non-coding RNA. RefSeq lists it as uncharacterized. The record is from RefSeq and is a predicted model, not a curated record. The transcript is spliced from 4 exons. Lineage: Eukaryota; Metazoa; Chordata; Actinopteri; Centrarchiformes; Centrarchidae.